RNAcentral lists this small nuclear RNA (121 nucleotides) under Oryzias latipes (Japanese medaka). RNAcentral describes it as "U4 spliceosomal RNA (ENSORLG00020019006.1)". It matches the Rfam family "U4 spliceosomal RNA". From Rfam's summary of the family: U4 small nuclear RNA (U4 snRNA) is a component of the major U2-dependent spliceosome. The structure of U4 snRNA from yeast and human has been reported. The record is from RNAcentral. Lineage: Eukaryota; Metazoa; Chordata; Actinopteri; Beloniformes; Adrianichthyidae.
AACAUUAAUAUUGCAAUAAAUUCUAGUGCGAUUAUUGCUAAUUGAAAACUUUACCCAAUACCCCGCCUUGACGACUUGAAAUAUAGUCGGCAAUGGCAAUUUUUGAUGGUCUCUAAGGAAA